Long non-coding RNA from Corapipo altera (White-ruffed manakin), 134 nucleotides. RefSeq lists it as uncharacterized. The record is from RefSeq and is a predicted model, not a curated record. NCBI's taxonomy places the organism in Eukaryota, Metazoa, Chordata, Aves, Passeriformes, Pipridae. The transcript is spliced from 3 exons.
GAGCAAUCCCAGCCCCUGCAGGAGGGCCAGGACAGCGGUGCAGACACAGACAGCAGGCCCGCUCAGAGUGUGAAUGAUGCUCCUCCUCAGGGUGUUUCUGAGGAGAACGGUGUCUCUGAUCCAAAGCAAGUAAG